GGAAUAUUGGACAAUGGGCGAAAGCCUGAUCCAGCCAUGCCGCGUGUGUGAAGAAGGUCUUCGGAUUGUAAAGCACUUUAAGUUGGGAGGAAGGGCUGCAAGUUAAUACCUUGUAGUUUUGACGUUACCAACAGAAUAAGCACCGGCUAACUUCGUGCCAGCAGCCGCGGUAAUACGAAGGGUGCAAGCGUUAAUCGGAAUUACUGGGCGUAAAGCGCGCGUAGGUGGUUUGGUAAGAUGGAUGUGAAAUCCCCGGGCUCAACCUGGGAACUGCAUCCAUAACUGCCUGACUAGAGUACGGUAGAGGGUGGUGGAAUUUCCUGUGUAGCGGUGAAAUGCGUAGAUAUAGGAAGGAACACCAGUGGCGAAGGCGACCACCUGGACUGAUACUGACACUGAGGUGCGAAAGCGUGGGGAGCAAACA
Molecule: ribosomal RNA, 424 nt
Filed under: uncultured Pseudomonas sp.
Lineage: Bacteria; Pseudomonadati; Pseudomonadota; Gammaproteobacteria; Pseudomonadales; Pseudomonadaceae
Description: bacterial SSU rRNA
Rfam family: Bacterial small subunit ribosomal RNA
Source: RNAcentral